CCGGCUGCUCGACUGCCCUGCCGCUGUGCCGCCGGAUUUGGCCGCCUACGCCACCUGCGCCGGAGGAAGUAUUUGCCAUCUGUAUGUUGCCUGCACUCUCCUCUUGGUCAAGCCAUUACUGGAAAACUGGUUCACCUUAGUGAACCCAAAAGACACGACUAAGCCAAAGUUCGGAAUAAGGAAGGAUAUAUUACUUGCAGCAACACAGAAGGAAUUCAGCAAGAGGCAAUGCGAUACGGAAGACGUGCAUUAUUUAAAGAGGAUCUCAGUUGUCCGACCAGGGAUUGAACCCAGGCCACGGCAGUAGAAGCCCAGAAUCCUAACCACUAGGCCACCAGGGAACUCCUGGCCAUGUCAUUCUUUUAAAGCAUGAGGGAUCUUAGUUCCCCCAACCAGGGACCAAACCCACACCCCCUGCAGUGGAAGCAAGGAGUCUUAACCACUGGACCACCAGGUAAGUCCCUCCCAUACCUCUAUCUUGCCCCUUCCCCUUCUUCUCCCCACUCAUAAUCACCAGCUUGUUCUUUAUAUCUGUGAGUCUGUUUCUGCUUUGUUAUAUACAUUUGUUUGUGCUGGUUUUUAGAUUCCACAUAUAAGUGAUAACAGAGAGUAUUUGUGUUUCUCUGUCUGACUGAUUUCACUAAGCAUAACACCCUCUAAGUCCAUCCACAUUGUUGCAAAUGGCAGAAUUUCAGUUUUUUAUGGCUAAGUAGUAUUCCAUUGUAUAUAUACACACAUAUUUUCUUUUUUUUUUUUUUUUUUUUUGCGGUACGCGGGCCUCCCACUGUUGUGGCCUCUCCUGUUGCGGAGCACAGGCUCCGGACGCACAGGCUCAGUGGCCAUGGCUCACGGGCCUAGCCACUCCGCGGCAUGCAGGAUCUUCCCGGACCGGGGCACGAACCCAUGUCCCUUGCAUCGGCAGGCGGACUCUCAACCACUGCGCCACCAGGGAAGCCCUACACACAUAUCUUCUGUAUCUAUUCAUCUGUUGGACAUGUAGGUUGCUUCUAUAUCUUGGCUAUUGUAAAUAAUGCUGCUAUGAAUAUUGGAGUACAUGUGUCUUUUGUUUUCGUCAGAUAUAUACCCAGGAGUAGAACUGCUGGGUUGUAUGAUAGUUCUAUUUUUAGUUUUUUAAGGAACCUCCAUAUCAUUUUCCAUAGUGGCUGUACCAAUUUAUAUUCCCACCAACAGUGUACGAGGGUUCCCUUUUCUCCACAUCCUUGCCAACACUUGUUAUUUGUGGUCUUUUUGAUGACAGCCAUUCUGACAGGUGUGAGAUGAUGUCUCAUUGUGUUUUUGAUUUGCAAUUCUCUAAUAAUUAGUGAUGUUGAGUAUCUUUUCAUGUGCCUGUUGGCCAUCUGUUUAUCUUCUUUGGAAAAAUGUCUAUUCAGGUCUUCUGCCCAUUUUUUAGUCGGGGUGUUCAGAGAUGGUAUUUUGAACAUUACUAAUGUGCUUUACUUAUUUUGCUAUUUCAGAGGAAGGGAGGAGAUGGUAUUAUUGGGAAGGCAACCAAGCGUGUCAAUUUAAUUUAUGUAUUUCUAAUUUAUAUCUUUUAUGAUAUUUCUUUUCUUCACAGCCCUGUAAGCCCCACCACCUUAAAUCCUUUUUAGAGCAAAGAUUUAAUUAAAUUGUACUGAAUUAAAUUAAAUUAAUCUCCUCCUCAAUAAUUUUAAGCCAUCUAUAAACGCAAUUUUGCUAUAUAACAUUGCAUUAUAUAGAUGUAACUAAGUUGGCUUAUUUUCAAUUGUUUUGCAUUAUAAAUUAAGUGGGAUAAAAAUAGUAUGUUAUCUUAAUUGUAUUAUGGAUUGGGAGUGGGGGGUGGGGGUAUUGGAAUUGCCUUCGUUUAAUAAAAUAGUUUGGUAAAUUGCUAAGGAAGAGAGUCAGAUCCAAAGGGAUGCAGGCUAGAGCCAGAGCAAUAAAAGAGGUAGCUAAACUGGAACAUGGUCUUUUGGCAAAUGACAAGAACACAAGGGGGCUGGUGGAAAUUUGGCAUGCCUCGAAAGCCUCAUUUUGGAACUGGCACACUGUCACUUCCACACGUAUACCAUUGGCCAGAUUAAGUCAUGAGGCCAAGCACGAACUCAGUGGGGUGGGGAAGAUUACUCCCACCUACAGAGAAGCAUGGCAGGAAUAAAGAGGGAAGAAAGAAUAGGAUACAAAUACAAUCUACUAGUGAAAAGCCCCUAGUGACGGGGGUGACUAAGGCACUCUUAAGAAGAAAUAUGCCCAAUAUUCAAUCUGAAGUUGUUGGCAUUUCUGUGUGGUAAACUCCCCUUAUUUGCCUGUAUUUGCCACAGUCUGCUAUGUGCACAAAUAGCUGAUGGGAGUGGCAUUUGUAAAAAUUAAGAAAAAGAUCUGAGUGUUAACUCUGGGUAAGCACUGCGUAGAACAGCACAACAGGUUUAAGACAUCUAGUUGAUCCCUAUGCUGAAUGAAUCUAGCAGAAACAGAGAACCAGAGCUGACCAUAAGAAGACAAGCCCUCUGGGAAUGUGCAAAAAUCUUGGGGAGGACAUUGAUCUUUCCACAAUUCAUGAAACUGAGAUUUUAAGCAAUCCUAUUUAGAUCUUAUGGAGCAGGGUAUCUCCUUGGAAUCAAAUCUCAGAAGUGUAAUUACUAAUCAAAGGGUAUGAACUUUUUUCAGGCUCUUGAUGAGUAACGUUGAAUUGAUUCAUGAUGUUAAGUUCAAAUAGAUAUUCAGGAUUUUUCCACUUUAAAUCGUCAACCAUAUUAAAUACCAAAAAAAGAAAAAGAAAAAGAAAAUAUAGAACAAGCUUUGAAAAUAAGAAAAAAAUAUACAAGCAGAUGCAGUUACUGAAUUAAAAUGCUCACUGAAAAUAACUAUGUUCUGAGCAAUUUUAUGUUUAAAUUUGAAAUUCUCUGAUUCAGUGUUAAUUCCUUAAAGCUUCACAGUUAAACCUGACCUUCAGUCCCAGGGAACCCAGGAUGGCUGGUAAUCCUACUAGGUGGGGAACGGGGGCCAUCUAUCCCAGACCUGAACUUGGAGAAGGAUGAAUGGGUCCUCCUAAGAGUUACUUAAUGUGUUUGGUUGAGAAGCAGAACCUGAGAGAGUCUCUUGUUUAAGUGGUUUAUUGAGGAUGUGUUCUCAGGUGAGGGGGAGGGAGGGAAGCAGGGUAAGGCAGAGGAAGACCACUAAGCAAGAAUGUGGUGUUCAGUGAAGACUGACUUCAGCCUGAUCCCACGAGGAGCUCUAGAAUAGGAACUGCACCUCCUUGAGGUGAGGGAUCAGUCUUCUGUACCUCCACACAAGCAAGAUAGCAAUUCUUUUCUUGAUCAGAUCUCAAAAUUAAAGUGCAUCAGAAUUACCUGGAGGACUUCUUAAAACAGACUGCUGGGCCAACUCCCUGUUUCUGAUUCAGUAGGUCUGAGGUAGGGACUAGAGAAUUUGUAUUUCUAACAAGUUCCCAGGUUUUGGGGAUGCUGCUGGUCUAGGGACCACACUUUGAGAACUACUGCUCUAGAUAAGAGGACAGCUGUGAGGCUUUAGCAGCCAAUACCCACAGCAUCCGGGAAAGGAGAUCUGAGCGCCAUCUACUCCAGGUAUACUAACUUGGCAUCUUCCCAAUGAAGGCACACACCAGGGCUAGAAGAUUGGACCACAAGCUGAGGCUGGGUAGAUUACAUUUUUAGGUCUGUCUAGACUCAUGACAUCCUAUUAUUUUCCUGUUGUCAUCCUGCAUCUCCAGCCAAAGCAUUGUUGAAACAUUCCAGUUCACCUCUGCCUUGCUAUUGGACUUCAAGGGAAGGGUCUGGCAGGUACAUGAGGCUUUAUAGAGGAAACAGCUGCACCUCUCUAGGGAAGUACAGUGGAGUCAGUUGCAAUGAGUGGAAAGUCCUCAAAGGGGAAACACAUAUUUGGGGGCAAGACUCAAGUAGACCACCUUGGAAGUUUUUUUUGUUUGUUUGUUUGUUUUUUUCUUUUUUUUUUUUUGCG
Physeter macrocephalus (sperm whale) is the source of this 3954-nucleotide long non-coding RNA. RefSeq lists it as uncharacterized. The record is from RefSeq and is a predicted model, not a curated record. The transcript has 5 exons. Lineage: Eukaryota; Metazoa; Chordata; Mammalia; Artiodactyla; Physeteridae.